Molecule: ribosomal RNA, 1248 nt
Filed under: metagenome
Description: bacterial LSU rRNA
Rfam family: Bacterial large subunit ribosomal RNA
Source: RNAcentral
AUAUACGACCGUACCGCAAACCGACACUGGUGCGCGAGAUGAGUAUUCUAAGGCGCUUGAGAGAACUCAGGAGAAGGAACUCGGCAAAUUGACACCGUAACUUCGGAAGAAGGUGUGCCCUAUUAGUGUGUAGUGAACAACGAAGCAUGAAUGGGUUGCAAAAAAUCGGUGGCUGCGACUGUUUAUUAAAAACACAGCACUCUGCAAACACGAAAGUGGACGUAUAGGGUGUGACGCCUGCCCGGUGCUGGAAGAUUAAAUGAUGGGGUGCAAGCUCUUGAUUGAAGUCCCAGUAAACGGCGGCCGUAACGAUAACGGUCCUAAGGUAGCGAAAUUCCUUGUCGGGUAAGUUCCGACCUGCACGAAUGGCGUAACGAUGGCCACACUGUCUCCUCCUGAGACUCAGCGAAGUUGAAAUGUUUGUGAUGAUGCAAUCUCCCCGCGGAAAGACGGAAAGACCCCAUGAACCUUUACUGUAGCUUUGUAUUGGACUUUGAACAGAUCUGUGUAGGAUAGGUGGGAGGCUUUGAAGCAGGGUCGCUAGAUCUUGUGGAGCCAACGUUGAAAUACCACCCUGGUGUGUUUGAGGUUCUAACCUAGGUCCAUUAUCUGGAUCGGGGACAGUGCAUGGUAGGCAGUUUGACUGGGGCGGUCUCCUCCCAAAGCGUAACGGAGGAGUUCGAAGGUACGCUAGUUACGGUCGGACAUCGUGACGAUAGUGCAAUGGCAUAAGCGUGCUUAACUGCGAGACUGACAAGUCGAGCAGAUGCGAAAGCAGGACAUAGUGAUCCGGUGGUUCUGUAUGGAAGGGCCAUCGCUCAACGGAUAAAAGGUACUCUGGGGAUAACAGGCUGAUACCGCCCAAGAGUUCAUAUCGACGGCGGUGUUUGGCACCUCGAUGUCGGCUCAUCUCAUCCUGGGGCUGUAGCCGGUCCCAAGGGUAUGGCUGUUCGCCAUUUAAAGAGGUACGUGAGCUGGGUUUAAAACGUCGUGAGACAGUUUGGUCCCUAUCUUCCGUGGGCGCUGCAGAUUUGAGGAAGCCUGCUCCUAGUACGAGAGGACCGGAGUGGACACACCUCUGGUGUAUCGGUUGUCACGCCAGUGGCAUUGCCGAGUAGCUAAGUGUGGAAGGGAUAACCGCUGAAAGCAUCUAAGCGGGAAACUCGUUUCAAGAUGAGAUCUGCCGGGGCCUUGAGCCCCCUAAAGAGUCGUUCAAGACCAGGACGUUGAUAGGUCAGGUGUGGAAGC